Molecule: ribosomal RNA, 427 nt
Filed under: uncultured Massilia sp.
Lineage: Bacteria; Pseudomonadati; Pseudomonadota; Betaproteobacteria; Burkholderiales; Oxalobacteraceae
Description: bacterial SSU rRNA
Rfam family: Bacterial small subunit ribosomal RNA
Source: RNAcentral
AGUGGGGAAUUUUGGACAAUGGGCGCAAGCCUGAUCCAGCAAUGCCGCGUGAGUGAAGAAGGCCUUCGGGUUGUAAAGCUCUUUUGUCAGGGAAGAAACGGCUGUGGCUAAUAUCCACGGCUAAUGACGGUACCUGAAGAAUAAGCACCGGCUAACUACGUGCCAGCAGCCGCGGUAAUACGUAGGGUGCAAGCGUUAAUCGGAAUUACUGGGCGUAAAGCGUGCGCAGGCGGUUUUGUAAGUCUGACGUGAAAUCCCCGGGCUUAACCUGGGAAUUGCGUUGGAGACUGCAAGGCUAGAAUCUGGCAGAGGGGGGUAGAAUUCCACGUGUAGCAGUGAAAUGCGUAGAGAUGUGGAGGAACACCGAUGGCGAAGGCAGCCCCCUGGGUCAAGAUUGACGCUCAUGCACGAAAGCGUGGGGAGCAAA